Molecule: ribosomal RNA, 253 nt
Filed under: uncultured bacterium
Lineage: Bacteria
Description: partial 16S ribosomal RNA
Rfam family: Bacterial small subunit ribosomal RNA
Source: RNAcentral
UACGGAGUGAGCUAGCGUUGUUCGGAAUUACUGGGCGUAAAGAGUACGUAGGCGGUUAUUCAAGUCAGAGGUGAAAGCCUGGAGCUCAACUCCAGAACUGCCUUUGAAACUAGAUAACUUGAAUCACGGAGAGGUUAGUGGAAUUCCGAGUGUAGAGGUGAAAUUCGUAGAUAUUCGGAAGAACACCAGUGGCGAAGGCGACUAACUGGACGUGUAUUGACGCUGAGGUACGAAAGCGUGGGGAGCAAACAGG